Long non-coding RNA from Helianthus annuus (common sunflower), 563 nucleotides. RefSeq lists it as uncharacterized. The transcript has 3 exons. NCBI's taxonomy places the organism in Eukaryota, Viridiplantae, Streptophyta, Magnoliopsida, Asterales, Asteraceae. The record is from RefSeq and is a predicted model, not a curated record.
UACCCACAGGAGAGAAUGAAGGAAGAAUGCUCAUGUUGAUGCAAUUUGACCAAAUCAAAAGGGAGAUUCAACUCAAAUCUUAUGCAUGAACUCAAAUCCAUGUUCAUCUAGACUUGUAAUACAUGAGGAUCAUGUCAAGAUGGGGAAAACAAGGAAGGCUAACGGAAAGGAUAGGAGGAAGCACGUACGAAACGGGCACUCGAGAUUAAUGCAGGUACAUUAUUGAAGGCUCACCAGGGAAUGGAUAUGCGAAUGAUAUGCUUAAAAUUAGAGAGAAAGCUGAAUGGAAAGUAUACAUGUAUGAAUCUUGUUUAUAUGUAUAACGUGUGCUAAUGUUAUAAAUGUAUGUGGUGAGUGCAGGUUGUACGAGAGUACGGACGAUUAUCACAAGGAAUAGAGAUAGAAGACCGAGUCACAAGGUAGAUUGUACGAGAAUGAUCGAUUCUGUACCUUAGGAAAUAGGAAGUUUGCUUUUGUUUAGUAAAAGAGUUAUUUUUAAACGGACUUUCAAGUAAGUCAAGACGUUGUAACGAAAGAAAUCUUAUGGCACGAAUUUCCGCUGC